RNAcentral lists this ribosomal RNA (468 nucleotides) under uncultured bacterium. RNAcentral describes it as "partial 16S ribosomal RNA". It matches the Rfam family "Bacterial small subunit ribosomal RNA", at positions 28 to 507 of the family's 1533-position model. The record is from RNAcentral.
GACGAACGCUGGCGGCGUGCUUAACACAUGCAAGUCGAACGGAAAGGCCCUGCUUUUGUGGGGUGCUCGAGUGGCGAACGGGUGAGUAACACGUGAGUAACCUGCCCUUGACUUUGGGAUAACUUCAGGAAACUGGGGCUAAUACCGGAUAGGAGCUCCUGCUGCAUGGUGGGGGUGGGAAAGUUUCGGCGGUUGGGGAUGGACUUGCGGCUUAUCAGCUUGUUGGUGGGGUAGUGGCUUACCGAGGCUUUGACGGGUAGCCGGCCUGAGAGGGUGACCGGCCACAUUGGGACUGAGAUACGGCCCAGACUCCUACGGGAGGCAGCAGUGGGGAAUAUUGCACAAUGGGCGGAAGCCUGAUGCAGCAACGCCGCGUGCGGGAUGACGGCCUUCGGGUUGUAAACCGCUUUCGCCUGUGACGAAGCGUGAGUGACGGUAAUGGGUAAAGAAGCACCGGCUAACUACGUG